GAUGAACGCUGGCGGCGUGCCUAAUACAUGCAAGUCGAGCGAACGGACGAGAAGCUUGCUUUUCUGAUGUUAGCGGCGGACGGGUGAGUAACACGUGGAUAACCUACCUAUAAGACUGGGAUAACUUCGGGAAACCGGAGCUAAUACCGGAUAAUAUUUUGAACCGCAUGGUUCAAAAGUGAAAGACGGUCUUGCUGUCACUUAUAGAUGGAUCCGCGCUGCAUUAGCUAGUUGGUAAGGUAACGGCUUACCAAGGCAACGAUGCAUAGCCGACCUGAGAGGUUGAUCGGCCACACGGGAACUGAGCAACGGUCCAGACUCCUACGGGAGGCAGCAGUAGGGAAUCUUCCGCAAUGGGCGAAAGCCUGACGGAGCAACGCCGCGUGAGUGAUGAAGGUCUUCGGAUCGUAAAACUCUGUUAUUAGGGAAGAACAUAUGUGUAAGUAACUGUGCACAUCUUGACGGUACCUAUCAGAAAGCCACGGCUAACUACGUG
Molecule: ribosomal RNA, 496 nt
Filed under: uncultured bacterium
Lineage: Bacteria
Description: partial 16S ribosomal RNA
Rfam family: Bacterial small subunit ribosomal RNA
Source: RNAcentral